Molecule: long non-coding RNA, 1630 nt
Filed under: Mustela putorius furo (domestic ferret)
Lineage: Eukaryota; Metazoa; Chordata; Mammalia; Carnivora; Mustelidae
Description: lncRNA (ENSMPUG00000028482.1)
Source: RNAcentral
NNNNNNNNNNNNNNNNNNNNNNNNNNNNNNNNNNNNNNNNNNNNNNNNNNNNNNNNNGCGCACCCCCGCCCCUGCCCGGGCCGGGAAGGAGCCAUGGCUUCCCGAAGCGCAGGAAUGAAGUGCGGUUUCUGGGGCCCGUGGCCUCUGGCUGCGGAGGCUGCCUGCGGGGAAUCCGGCGUCCCGGAGCGGCCGGGCUAGGGGUUCGCAGCCCGCGUGAGAGCUCUCAGAGCUCUGACACACAGGAACAACGUCUUCAGCAAAUGUAUAUCGGAGCUGCCAUGCAAGAGACUACUACUGCUAGUCACUGGGAUGCAGAAUAUAAAAACUGAAACAAGUUGAAUUAGACUGAAUAAUGAUUAAGGAUAGAUAAAAUGAUAUAUCCAGGAGAAGACAUCAUAGAGACUUGGACUGAUUUCCCAGUUCUGCCUUUUAUUCCCACUGUGAGUCUGGGCAAAUUUGUUUAACUUUCCUGAAUCUCAGUUUUCUUAUCUGUAGACUAGAAGACUGGUAAUAACUAGUUCUUAGGAUUGUUUUUAGGAUUAAUUGAGAGAAUAAAUUGACGACACUGAACAGAAGGCAAGAAACAGUACUGUGAAAUGUUACUAACCUUCCUGCAGUUGAUUGAAUUCCUUGUUAAAAUUGGGAUAUUAGUACUUAGCUCAGGUUUGUUGUAAAGAUGAAAUGAGAAUGGAGUGAGUUCGCUAGCUACCCGGCACACAGAUGCUACGUGUGCAGAAAAGAACCGGAGCAACUGAAAUGCUGGAGGCAAUAUUUCUUUGGAAGAGACAAAUGAAAAUAGUACCUAAAUUGUACCAACACUAGCAACCCAUGAAUUUCAGUAGUCGGUGUUACUCUUGCUGUGCUGAGCUAAAUAUGUGCAUUUCCAAUUGUAUUUUGCCUGUGAUUCAGUCCCCUUUUUUUUUUUUUUUUACACAUAAUCAUGUUCUGCUCAUUCUCAAAGAUUAGCUUGAAUUUUACUGUGAAGCUCUUGUAGAUCAGUUUAGAGAAAUGAUUUGUCCUACUACUAAAAUGCCAUUGUGAUGCUUAGCAUGGACUGAUUCGUAGUGGUUUUGCUCUCCUGAUCUGCCUGGAGAGAUUCUAUUCCUUCGUAAAGUCUCAUUUGGGACUCUUCUGAGAAACCUUUCCUAACUCUCACUAUCAAUACAUUCCUUCUGUAUUUUUGUUGUUGUACAUCUUGUGAAACACUUGCUGCCUUUACCACGUUGUUACAAUUAUUUGCUUACUUUUGUCUGCUUAUAAUGAACUAUGAAUAUCAUAAGAACAGAGUAUUUUCUCUGUAUUCCCAUUUUAUAGCACAUGUCUGGUUCAGUAAGUAAUGAAUUGAGACUUCGAUGCAUUAAUCUUGUGUUGGUAUUUUCUUUUUCCAACACAAAAGGGCAUGAGUGAGAAGUUCACUUUGGUGUCUCUGUGUUUUUUAAAAUAAAACCAACAGGGGUGCGUGGGUGGUUUAGUUCAUUAAGCGACUGACUCUUGAUUUCAGCUCAGGUCACGAUCUCAGGGUUUUGAGAUCAAGCCCUGUAUGGGGCUCUGUGCUCGGGAGGAGUCUGCUUGAGAUUCUCUCCCUCUCCCUUUGCCCCUCCUCUGCCCCAGCUUGUACACAGUCUCUCAC